RNAcentral lists this ribosomal RNA (429 nucleotides) under uncultured Gammaproteobacteria bacterium. Its description in RNAcentral is "bacterial SSU rRNA". It matches the Rfam family "Bacterial small subunit ribosomal RNA", at positions 355 to 776 of the family's 1533-position model. Lineage: Bacteria; Pseudomonadati; Pseudomonadota; Gammaproteobacteria. The record is from RNAcentral.
UGGGGAAUAUUGGACAAUGGGGGCAACCCUGAUCCAGCCAUGCCGCGUGUGUGAAGAAGGCCUUCGGGUUGUAAAGCACUUUAAGUGGGGAGAAAGGUUCGGCAAUUAAUACCUGCCGGAAGUGAUGUUACCCACAGAAUAAGCACCGGCUAACUCUGUGCCAGCAGCCGCGGUAAUACAGAGGGUGCAAGCGUUAAUCGGAAUUACUGGGCGUAAAGCGCGCGUAGGCGGCUGUCUAAGUCGGGUGUGAAAGCCCCGGGCUCAACCUGGGAACUGCAUUCGAUACUGGACGGCUAGAGUAUGAGAGAGGGAGGUAGAAUUCCACGUGUAGCGGUGAAAUGCGUAGAUAUGUGGAGGAAUACCGGUGGCGAAGGCGGCCUCCUGGUUCAAUACUGACGCUGAGGUGCGAAAGCGUGGGGAGCAAACAGG